ACUUGCCUGAGGUGACACAGGCGCUGUUCUAAAGGCUUUCCGUAGAUUAAUUAACUUCAUCCUCACUAUAGCUCUACAAGUUUGAGGAUUAUUCUUUCCUGUUUAUAUAUAUAUCAAUAGGAGAAGAAGGGAGCGACAGAGAAUGAAAUGAUUGGAUGGCAUCACUGAAUCAAAGGACAUGAGUUUGAGUAAACUCCGGGAGAUAGUGAAGGACAGGGAAGUCUGGCGUGCUGCAGUUCAUGGGGUCACAGAAUUGGACACGACUUAAUGACUUAGCAACAAUAACAAACAUUUAACAUGAGAUCCUUUGCCUUAACAGAAAGAAUUGUUGCUUAUGGUUCCAUGAAGACCACCUGGAAAAUGAGUUGGAGUGACUGUUCACUUGAGUCUUCAUUUAGCUCACUUCAUGAGAUUUACUGUUAAAAAAAAGAACCACCAGUUUUACACUCACCUCUUCCCCAUUUAUCAGCUUUGGUAGCCAGUCUGCUUUCAUUCCC
Bos taurus (domestic cattle) is the source of this 497-nucleotide long non-coding RNA. NCBI's taxonomy places the organism in Eukaryota, Metazoa, Chordata, Mammalia, Artiodactyla, Bovidae. The record is from Ensembl.